GUUCCUCUUACAGCCUUCUGCAGGGCCUGGUGGCAUCUGCUGUGGCUACUCCCAGGAGCAGAUCUUUAGGCUGUAGAGAUGCAGAAGUAGUCUUUGGCAGUCAACCCAGCAGUAGCAGAUGGAAGUGUGAAGUGCAGGAAGAAAGCUACAAAUAGCCGAACAAGAAAAACCUGACACGUCCUGGGCUUGCACAUCAUGAACCUUUUCAAGCUGUGGGAUAGCACUGACUUCUGAAAAGGGCUAUUUUAGGCAACAUCUCAUGAAGUUUGGCUCUCUUCACACACUGGCCUUCAUCUGCACGUGGAGAAGACAGUUCCUACAACAGCAGCUUCUUUACUAUCACUUGGUUCCCUCCAGUGAUGAGCUAACACAGCACCAUGUGGAGCAUCACCCUGAGCAGCAGGGAGAGUCCCAGUCAUCUUCUGCAUGCAUCCCUUCCAGGGAACAGGGAGUGGAAGGAACGGAGUGAUGAUGAGAAAGAGACACUGAGGUGCAGAAAAACAAGAAAGUGGAUUUUUGCAAGAGCAGCAGCAAAAUCAAGGGAAGAUACACAACAAAAUGGACUCAGGUGCAAAACGGUGCAUGGAGAGGUUCAGGAUGAAGAGACUAAGGCAUAUGGGGCUGGGAAGCGCAGAACGAGGUGUUGUAGUUACUGCGGCAUCCAGAAAAAGCAUUAGCAGGAGAAGUGAGUGACUGAUGGCUGAUUUGUCCUGAGCGCAUGUCGAAAGAACAAGCUUCCUCCUGCAAAUUGUUUUCUCCCUGCCUCAACCAAGAGACGGCUGCUAUUCUGGUGAAGUGACAGAUGCUGCUACCAGUCAUAUGACUAGGCAAAAACGCUCUCAUUUUUAGGAAUAUGGGAUGAUGUGUUCUAGUAUCCAAGGGUAAUUUCUUACUAUUUAUUCUUGCUUGCCCCUGACACAUCCCCUGCCAUCUAUUUCUAGAUUUUUCCUCUUGGGUAGCAGACUUAAGUCUGUACUUUUUCUUACAAGCCAUAAACAGAAAAGAACAGUGUUUCUGCAAAAAUACACACAGA
RNAcentral lists this long non-coding RNA (1033 nucleotides) under Anas platyrhynchos platyrhynchos (common mallard). RNAcentral's name for it is "lncRNA (ENSAPLG00000021338.1)". The record is from RNAcentral. Lineage: Eukaryota; Metazoa; Chordata; Aves; Anseriformes; Anatidae.